ACCACAAGAGGUGGAGGCGUGCGGUUCAAUUGGACUCAAACGCCGGAAAACUCACCGGGAGCGACAGCAGUAUGAUUGCCAGGUUGAUGACCUUGCUUGACAAGCUGAGAGGAGGUGCAUGGCCGUCGUCAGUUCGUACUGUGAAGCAUCCUGUUAAGUCAGGCAACGAGCGAGACCCACGCCAACAGUUGCCAGCUCGUCCUCCGGGAUGGUGGGGACACUGUUGGGACCGCCUCUGCUAAAGAGGAGGAAGGAAUGGGCAACGGUAGGUCAGCAUGCCCCGAAUUAUCUGGGCUACACGCGGGCUACAAUGGGUGGGACAAUGGGUAUCGACACCGAAAGGUGAAGGCAAUCUCCUAAACCCAUCCGUAGUUCGGAUUGUGGGCUGCAACUCGCCCACAUGAAGCUGGAAUCUGUAGUAAUCGUGUCUCAAAAUGGCACGGUGAAUAUGUCCCUGCUCCUU
This 463-nucleotide ribosomal RNA is filed under the name uncultured Thermoplasmata archaeon. Its description in RNAcentral is "bacterial SSU rRNA". It matches the Rfam family "Archaeal small subunit ribosomal RNA", at positions 878 to 1338 of the family's 1478-position model. Lineage: Archaea; Methanobacteriati; Thermoplasmatota; Thermoplasmata. The record is from RNAcentral.